This 194-nucleotide non-coding RNA is filed under the name Pseudomonas sp. The record is from RNAcentral. Lineage: Bacteria; Pseudomonadati; Pseudomonadota; Gammaproteobacteria; Pseudomonadales; Pseudomonadaceae.
GACUACCAUGCCGCCGCCGGUCCCCCAACGGGAUUAAUAGGGAAUCCGUGAUGCUGCCAACGCAUCAAACGGAACUGCCCCCGCAACUGUAGGUGCCGAGCCUGCUCCUGAACUGCCACUGGGAUCGAUCCCGGGAAGGCUGGAGCAUGCCAUGACGCAUCAGUCAGGAGACCUGCCGGCCAAGCAACAAUCAC